This 497-nucleotide ribosomal RNA is filed under the name uncultured bacterium. RNAcentral describes it as "partial 16S ribosomal RNA". It matches the Rfam family "Bacterial small subunit ribosomal RNA", at positions 28 to 507 of the family's 1533-position model. The record is from RNAcentral.
GAUGAACGCUGGCGGCGUGCCUAAUACAUGCAAGUCGAGCGAACAGACGAGGAGCUUGCUCCUUCGACGUUAGCGGCGGACGGGUGAGUAACACGUAGGUAACCUACCUAUAAGACUGGGAUAACUUCGGGAAACCGGAGCUAAUACCGGAUAAUAUUUCGAACCGCAUGGUUCGAUAGUAAAAGAUGGCUUUGCUAUCACUUAUAGAUGGACCUGCGCCGUAUUAGCUAGUUGGUAAGGUAACGGCUUACCAAGGCAACGAUACGUAGCCGACCUGAGAGGGUGAUCGGCCACACUGGAACUGAGACACGGUCCAGACUCCUACGGGAGGCAGCAGUAGGGAAUCUUCCGCAAUGGGCGAAAGCCUGACGGAGCAACGCCGCGUGAGUGAUGAAGGUCUUCGGAUCGUAAAACUCUGUUAUUAGGGAAGAACAAACGUGUAAGUAACUGUGCACGUCUUGACGGUACCUAAUCAGGAAGCCACGGCUAACUACGUG